GUAGUCAUAUGCUUGUCUCAAAGAUUAAGCCAUGCAUGUCUAAGUAUAAGCAAUAUAUACUGUGAAACUGCGAAUGGCUCAUUAAAUCAGUUAUCGUUUAUUUGAUAGUACCUUACUACUUGGAUAACCGUGGUAAUUCUAGAGCUAAUACAUGCUAAAAACCCCGACUUCUGGAGGGGUGUAUUUAUUAGAUAAAAAACCAAUGCCCUUCGGGGCUCCUUGGUGAUUCAUAAUAACUUAACGAAUCGCAUGGCCUUGUGCCGGCGAUGGUUCAUUCAAAUUUCUGCCCUAUCAACUUUCGAUGGUUAGGUCUUGGCUAACCAUGGUUUCAACGGGUAACGGGGAAU
This 347-nucleotide ribosomal RNA is filed under the name uncultured fungus. RNAcentral's name for it is "SSU rRNA". It matches the Rfam family "Eukaryotic small subunit ribosomal RNA", at positions 20 to 370 of the family's 1831-position model. The record is from RNAcentral. Lineage: Eukaryota; Fungi.